This 660-nucleotide ribosomal RNA is filed under the name uncultured bacterium. Its description in RNAcentral is "bacterial SSU rRNA". It matches the Rfam family "Bacterial small subunit ribosomal RNA", at positions 817 to 1499 of the family's 1533-position model. The record is from RNAcentral.
UAGACCGUUGAAUUAUUUUCAGGUUCCCAGGGAAGCAUUAACCCCCGCCUGGGAGUCAACGCCAAGUAACUCAAUGAUUGACCGGGACGGCACCAAGUAGUGGAGCAUGUGGUUCAAUUCGAAGAUACGCGCCAGAACCUUAACAAACACUUGACAUGUCGUCGCGACUUUAAGAGAUUAAAGUUUUCCGGUUCGGCCGGACGAAACACAGGUGCUGCAUGGCUGUCGUCAGCUCGUGUCGUGAGAUGUUGGGUUAAGUCCCGCAACGAGCGCAACCCUCACUUUUAGUUGCCAUCAUUUAGUUGGGCACUCUGAAAGAACUGCCAGUGAUAAGCUGGAGGAAGGUGGGGAUGACGUCAAGUCCUCAUGGCCCUUACGAGUUGGGCUACACACGUGCUACAAUGGCAUUUACAAUAGGAAGCAAGAUGGCGACGUCAAGCAAAUCCUAAAAAGAUGCCUCAGUUCGGAUUGUACUCUGCAACUCGAGUACAUGAAGCUGGAAUUACUAGUAAUCGCGGAUCAGCGCGCCGCGGUGAAUACGUUCCCGGGUCUUGUACACACCGCCCGUCACACCAUGGGAGUUGGUUCUACCUUAAGGCAAGGUUUCAAACCCUUGACCACGGUAUAGUCAGCGACUGGGGUGAAGUCGUAACAAGGUAA